CUCCCUGUAGCUCAGUUGGUAGAGCAUGGUGUUUGCAACGCCAGGGUUGUGGGUUCAUUUCCCACGGGGGGC
This is a non-coding RNA of Salmo salar (Atlantic salmon), 72 nucleotides long. The record is from Rfam. NCBI's taxonomy places the organism in Eukaryota, Metazoa, Chordata, Actinopteri, Salmoniformes, Salmonidae.